GACAUGACUACGGCGCCUCAGGGGCUGUGCCCACGCCACUGCCAGUUCCCUGUCCCUGCUGCAGCCACUGUCCCUCUGUUCCCUUGGCCUCUCCCCAUUCUUGGAACUCUCACUUCCUCCGCCAAAGCCCAGAAGGCACCAGGGCAGUUGAGAAGAGACUGUGACAACUCAUCAGCCACUUACUCGCUGCCUGACUCUGGCAAGUUAUUUCACCUUUCAGACCUCACUUUCCUCAUCCACAAAACGGCUGGGCCCCACUCCCCUGGACAGAGAUAAAUCAGCAGACAAUGCAGCUAGUGACAAGAUAAACUCCUCCAACAUCGACAGCAAGGCUCUGAAAUGCCCUCUCAUAGAGGAGAAUUCUCUGGCUCAGUGCCCCCGAGGUCUUGGACAAGGCCAGGCUGCUCCUUAGAGCUGGAGAGAACUAUUAAGAUGGCGAAACUGAGGACCCAAGUGGGGCAGUGCCCAUCUUAGGUGUGCAGUUAAGAAGAGGCAGAGGCAGAGACACCUGCAGACCUCCUAACACUCAGUUUCCAGGCUCUCCUCAACCCACCUCAGCUUGGCCCGGUGAAGGGAGGUUGUGCCUGGACGAGGUGGCAGCGUCUGGGACACACAGGGGAGAAGAUGGGUAAGAAGGAGGAAAAGUGGGGGAGGAGGGCAGCAGCCCAGCCUGGGAAGGGGUUGAGGGAUGAGGCAGGGCUGCCUGGGUGAUGACGAAGAGGCCUGGGAGGAGGGCAGAAGGACACACUUAGAACUCCAAGCGAACUGUCCUUACCCACCCUUCUCGCCUUCCCUCAGGGUCUGUCUUCUCCUGCUUACUUAGGGAAAAAUAAUGACAGAAAGGUGGAGAGUAGAGACAAAAGAGAGGGCUGACCCACCUGUCCUCCCUCCCGUCUCUGUCCAUCUGUCUCCAUCUACUCACUCCCCACCUGUGACUUACCCACUGCUGCACUCCGUAGGCAUGCCCGGGUGCCCCCAGCUCAUCUCCCCACUUGCACCACCUCAGCCCCAGCUGCUGCUCCCCAAGUCCACUUCCCCAUGACCUCUCUGGCUUUUCUGCUCCUUCCCUCUAUGCCUCUCUGCCUGCAGCAGAGGGAGGGCCACCGCUUGCCUGGAGCUUGGAGCCCAGCACCUGGAGGUCAGUCAGCUCCAGGGGGAAGAAGGGCCCAGCACCUACUGCUUUGCAGCAAGCCCAGGAGAGAAGUCAGACCCAGUGGAAGCAUAUCUUGUCAGGGUUCCGUGGAGGCCGGGGAGGAAAUGGGCCCAAUUAAUCCAUAUUUGCCUCUCCAGAUUGAAGUACAAGUGGGGAAAUGGAAGAAUUAACCUUUUCAAAAAUGUAAUUUCAUAAAAUCAUCUUGCUUGGAA
RNA transcript from Pongo pygmaeus (Bornean orangutan), 1365 nucleotides. RefSeq lists it as uncharacterized. The transcript has 3 exons. NCBI's taxonomy places the organism in Eukaryota, Metazoa, Chordata, Mammalia, Primates, Hominidae. The record is from RefSeq and is a predicted model, not a curated record.